Molecule: long non-coding RNA, 657 nt
Organism: Wasmannia auropunctata (little fire ant)
Lineage: Eukaryota; Metazoa; Arthropoda; Insecta; Hymenoptera; Formicidae
Exons: 4
Source: RefSeq, a predicted model, not a curated record
CGACUAAAGGCAAAUUUUCGUGACUGUACCAAGUGAGGCUGAAGGUAAUUGAAGAACGAUGACAUUACCAACCAUUUUGACUUGAUGGAUAACAAACGUAAAUACAUAGUUAUACAUGUAUACACGAUCGUUUUACAUAGUAAAAAGAAAUGGCCAGCCACGCGAAGAAUGGAUGAAUGACGGAUCACACACAUGUAUGUACGUUAGAUCAGAUUCGCGGAAUGGAUAACGUAUUACAUUUUCCACAUUACGAAUGCUGAAAAUGAUACAGACUCUGUCAUACAUGGAGAUGCAAGCAUAAUUAUUAAUUUUCGUAGACGUGAAACGAACAAUCACGAAUGAAACAAUCGCAUCUAUAUUCAAGACAUCGAUAAUGCCAUCGAGAGCUUCUGCGAACGACGAUGCGACGUAUUGGAACGUUAGUUGAAUAUAAUUCGUAUCCUCGUCGUCGUAUUCCUCGUCAAAGAAAUAGUCGUACGUCAUAGGCAAAAAUAUGACCGCGACAUACAUCGCGAUACACAGCAGCGCUAAAAGAAAGAGAUUAUAAACGCAAGAUUGAAAAAUAAACGAUAACCUUUUAGCUAAUAAUGAUGAGAUAUUCGAACACGAUGCGAUCUGGAUUCUGGAAAAUAAGCUAAGCUCGAGAGACGUCGCGCG